This 721-nucleotide ribosomal RNA is filed under the name Suillus acidus. RNAcentral's name for it is "eukaryotic LSU rRNA". The stretch from base 269 to 423 matches the Rfam family "5.8S ribosomal RNA". Lineage: Eukaryota; Fungi; Basidiomycota; Agaricomycetes; Boletales; Suillaceae. The record is from RNAcentral.
AGAGGAAGUAAAAGUCGUAACAAGGUUUCCCGUAGGUGAACCUGCGGAAGGAUCAUUAAUGAAAUUAUAAUCCGGCGAGGGGAAGGCGGAGGACUGUCGCUGGCCUUUUAACCGAGGCAUGUGCACGCUCUCUUCUGGACUUUUGCCGUAUGGGCGCGGGGCGACCCGCGUCUUCAUAUACCUCUUCGUGUAGAAAGUCUUUGAAUGUUUUACGAUCAUCGAGUCGCGACUUCUAGGAGACGCGAUUCUUUGAGACAAAAGUUAUCACAACUUUCAGCAAUGGAUCUCUUGGCUCUCGCAUCGAUGAAGAACGCAGCGAAUCGCGAUAUGUAAUGUGAAUUGCAGAUCUACAGUGAAUCAUCGAAUCUUUGAACGCACCUUGCGCUCCUCGGUGUUCCGAGGAGCAUGCCUGUUUGAGCGUCAGUAAAUUCUCAACCCCUCUCGAUUUGUUUCGAGUGGGGCUUGGAUAGUGGGGGCUGCCGGAGACCUGAAUUCAUUUCAGGACUCGGGCUCCUCUGAAAUGCAUCGGCUUGCGGUCGACUUUCGACUUUGCGCGACAAGGCUUUCGGCGUGAUAAUGAUCGCCGUUCGCCGAAGCGCAUGAAUGAACCGUCCCGUGCCUCUAAUCCGUCGACCCCUUCUGGGCGUCUUCCUUAUAGACGUUUGACCUCAAAUCAGGUAGGACUACCCGCUGAACUUAAGCAUAUCAAUAAGCGGAGGAA